This 125-nucleotide small RNA is filed under the name Marmota monax (woodchuck). The record is from RNAcentral. Lineage: Eukaryota; Metazoa; Chordata; Mammalia; Rodentia; Sciuridae.
ACCAGGCACGGUGGUGCAUGCCUGUAAUCCCAGCUGCUUGGGAGGCUGAGGCAGGAGGAUCUUGAGUUCAAAGCCAGCCUCAGCAAAAAUGAGGUGCUAAGCAAUUUAGUGAGAUCCUAUCUCAA